Molecule: ribosomal RNA, 267 nt
Filed under: uncultured bacterium
Lineage: Bacteria
Description: partial 16S ribosomal RNA
Rfam family: Bacterial small subunit ribosomal RNA
Source: RNAcentral
UACGAAGGGGGCUAGCGUUGCUCGGAAUUACUGGGCGUAAAGGGCGCGUAGGCGGCACUGUUAGUCAGGCGUGAAAGUCCUGGGCUCAACCUGGGAACUGCGCUUGAUACGGCAGAGCUAGAGGAUGGAAGAGGCUCGCGGAAUUCCCAGUGUAGAGGUGAAAUUCGUAGAUAUUAGGAAGAACACCAGUGGCGAAGGCGGCUCACUGGUCCGGUACUGACGCUGAGGUGCGAAAGCGUGGGGAGCAAACAGGAUAGAAACCCUUGU